AGAUCGAGCUGAGUAUCCGGGGAUCCUAGAGAGAUUCGCGACCUAUCAGCUUGUUGGUGGGGUAGAGUCUUCCCAUGGCUCAGACGGGUACCCGGCUUGAGAGGGUGGCCGGCCACAGUGGGAAUGAGAUUCGGCCCAGCAUCCUACGGGAGGCAACAGUCGGGAAUAUUCCACAAAGGGCGGAAGCCUAAUACAGCAACUCCGCAUAUGGGAUCACGGCCUUCGGGCUGCAAAAAGCUCUCUCCCGUGUUGAAGCGUGAGGAUCGGUAAUGUGUAAAGAAGCACCGGCUAAGUACGUGCCAGCAGCCGCGCUGAUACGUAGGGCCCGAGCGUUGUCCGGAUUUAUCGGGGGUAAAGGGCUAGUAGGUGGUUGAUCGCGUCGGAAGGGUAAUCGUGGGGCUUAACCCUGAGCGUUCUUUCGAUACGGGUUGACUUGAGGAAGGUAGGGGAGAAUGGAAUUCCUGGUGGAGCGGUGGAAUGGUCAGAUAUCAGGAGGAACACCAGUUCGAAGGCGGUUCUCUGGCCCUUUCCCGACCAUGAGGAGAGAAAGCGUGGGGAGCGAACAGGCUUAGAUACCGUGGUAGUCCCAGUUGUAAACGGUGGGUAUCUUGGUGUGGGGUCCAUUCCACGGGUUCCGUGCCGUAGCUAACGCUUUAAGUACCCAACCUGGGGAGUAGGGA
RNAcentral lists this ribosomal RNA (680 nucleotides) under uncultured bacterium. RNAcentral's name for it is "bacterial SSU rRNA". It matches the Rfam family "Bacterial small subunit ribosomal RNA", at positions 191 to 886 of the family's 1533-position model. The record is from RNAcentral.